RNAcentral lists this ribosomal RNA (440 nucleotides) under uncultured bacterium. Its description in RNAcentral is "bacterial SSU rRNA". It matches the Rfam family "Bacterial small subunit ribosomal RNA", at positions 338 to 790 of the family's 1533-position model. The record is from RNAcentral.
CCUACGGGAGGCAGCAGUGGGGAAUAUUGCACAAUGGGCGCAAGCCUGAUGCAGCGACGCCGCGUGAGGGAUGACGGCCUUCGGGUUGUAAACCUCUUUCACCAGGGACGAAGCGUGAGUGACGGUACCUGGAGAAGAAGCACCGGCCAACUACGUGCCAGCAGCCGCGGUAAUACGUAGGGUGCGAGCGUUGUCCGGAAUUACUGGGCGUAAAGAGCUCGUAGGCGGUUUGUCGCGUCGUCUGUGAAAUUCUGCAACUCAAUUGCAGGCGUGCAGGCGAUACGGGCAGACUUGAGUACUACAGGGGAGACUGGAAUUCCUGGUGUAGCGGUGAAAUGCGCAGAUAUCAGGAGGAACACCGGUGGCGAAGGCGGGUCUCUGGGUAGUAACUGACGCUGAGGAGCGAAAGCGUGGGUAGCGAACAGGAUUAGAUACCCCAG